GGCCUCGUAGCUCAUCUGGUUAGAGCAUUGGCUGUACUAAAGCCUUCCCCUUGCUGGCGUGGGUUCGAAUCCCACCGAGGCCG
Molecule: transfer RNA, 83 nt
Filed under: Schistocephalus solidus
Lineage: Eukaryota; Metazoa; Platyhelminthes; Cestoda; Diphyllobothriidea; Diphyllobothriidae
Rfam family: tRNA
About the family: Transfer RNA (tRNA) molecules are approximately 80 nucleotides in length.
Source: Rfam by way of RNAcentral